Molecule: RNA transcript, 3472 nt
Organism: Scleropages formosus (Asian bonytongue)
Lineage: Eukaryota; Metazoa; Chordata; Actinopteri; Osteoglossiformes; Osteoglossidae
Gene name: glycerol kinase
Exons: 21
Source: RefSeq, a predicted model, not a curated record
UUCACCCGGCAUUUCGGCUCGACGUCACGGCGGUGGUGUCGCUCGGCCGCCGGUCUUUUCGGGUUUUUUUUUUUCCUCCCCCCCAGCAGCGGCUCCGGGGGGGGGGGUGGUGGCGGUUGCGCUAUAAAACGGGCGACCGGGUGGCCCCGCGCGCCACAGCUCGACACGUUCAUGACCGGCGCCAUGGCGGCCUCCUCGGACAGGAUCAUGCUGGGUCCCCUCGUGGCAGCCGUGGACCAGGGCACGAGCUCCACGCGCUUCCUGGUGUUCAAUGCCAAGACAGCUGAGCUCCUCAGUCAUCACCAGGUGGAGAUCAAGCAGAGUUUCCCCAAGGAAGGGUGGGUUGAGGAAGACCCAAGGGAGAUCCUGCAGUCGGUGUAUGAGUGCAUGGAGCGGACGUGCGAGAAACUGACCCAGCUGAACAUCGACAUCUCCAACAUCAAAGCGAUUGGAGUGACCAAUCAGAGAGAGACCACGCUGGUUUGGGACAAGGAGACGGGGGAGCCUCUCUACAACGCCAUUGUGUGGCUGGACCUGCGCACUCAGUCCACGGUGGAGCGACUCAUCAACAAGACCCCCGGCAGAAACAAGAACCACCUGAAGCACAAGACCGGCCUUCCCAUCAGCACCUACUUCAGCGCCGUGAAGCUGCGCUGGCUCGUGGACAACGUGCUGGAAGUCCACGAGGCCGUGCAGUCGCACAGGGCCAUGUUCGGCACCAUUGACUCCUGGCUCAUCUGGUGCCUCACGGGGGGCAGAAAUGGCGGCGUUCACUGCACGGAUGUGACCAACGCCAGCCGGACCAUGCUCUUCAACAUUCACACCAUGGACUGGGACCCGGAGCUCUGCAAAUACUUUGACAUCCCGAUGGAGAUCCUGCCCAAAGUGAGAAGCUCCUCAGAAAUAUAUGGUUUAAUGAGAAUAAGCUCUAGUCUGAAAUCCGGCUCUCUCACCGGGGUGCCCAUAUCAGGGUGCCUGGGGGACCAGUCUGCUGCGCUGGUCGGUCAGAUGUGUUUCCAGGAUGGACACGCCAAAAACACGUAUGGCACUGGCUGCUUCCUUCUCAGAAACACUGGCCUCAAGCCGGUGAUGUCGGACCACGGCCUCCUGACUACGGUGGCCUACAAGUUGGGUCGGGACAAGCCGGCCUACUAUGCCCUAGAGGGCUCAGUAGCGAUUGCUGGAGCUGUGGUCCAGUGGCUGAAGGACAACCUGGGCAUCGUCCAAUCCUCUGUUGAGAUUGAGAACCUGGCAGCUGCUGUGGGCACCUCCUACGGCUGCUACUUUGUCCCAGCGUUUUCGGGCUUGUACGCCCCCUACUGGGAGCCCAGCGCAAGAGGUGCCUCUUCUGAAGUCUUCUUCUCUCCAUCGUCGUCCUGCUGUCCCUCUGCUCUCCUGCAGCAUCAUCUGUGGUCUGACGCAGUUCACAAACAGGAGCCAUCUGGCCUUCGCGGCCCUCGAGGCCGUCUGCUUCCAGACCCGGGAGAUCCUGGAUGCCAUGAACCAGGACAGCGGGAUCCCUCUCACACAGCUGCAGGUGGACGGGGGAAUGACCUCCAACCGGCUACUCAUGCAGCUGCAGGCCGAUAUUCUGUGCAUCCCUGUAGUGAAGCCCUCCAUGCCAGAGACCACGGCCCUGGGGGCGGCCAUGGCGGCCGGGGCAGCGGAGGGAGUCAGCGUGUGGAGCUUGAAGCCCGAAGAUCUGACCGCGGUCACAUGCGAGAAGUUCGAGCCCCAGAUAAAUCCAGAAGAGAGCGAAUUCCGCUAUGCCCGCUGGAAGAAAGCUGUGCAGAAAGCCAUGAACUGGGAGACCACAGAGCCUGUUGCCAACGGAAAUGGUGAAACUAGUAUCUUCAGUAGUGUUCCACUGGGAUUUUACAUUCUGGGUAGCAUGUUUAUGUUAAUUGGAGCAAAGUACAUUGCAGGUCAUCACCUGUAGAGUCUGACCACAAUACAGUGCUGUGGAACAGUGGCCCAAUUUCUUCUCGACGAAGGACAUCUUCCUGAAAAGAGCGUUAAGACUUUACCGUCCAUUUCCCAGAGUUCCUUGACGUUGCCCUGCAAUGGAGUCUGUUGUCAUCAACAACCAUGUGUGAUGCAGCGGGUUGCUUGCUCCCAUGGGCACCUUGCCUUAAGCCAGUCGAUGUGCACUGAAAGGAAGGAGCAAGUCAGUGUGCACAUUAAGGUUUGAACCAAUCAGAAAACAGCAAAAUGGAGGCUUGAGCCAAUCAGAGUGCACUGAAGUGAAGCAGUAAAAAUUCUGAUGUAGUGUCAUCUUUCCAAAAAGUUUCAAACCCUUGAUAACCUUGUAUAUGAUGGGAAUGGUGUUUUUCAUAUUGUUGUCAUUGUGAGAACAUUGAAUAACCUGGUCAGUAUAGUCUGUUUAUGCAUUCAUUGAUUUUUACUUGAUGUGAUUAAUUCUAAUUGGAGGAAAAUUAAAUUGCAGCACUUUAUUACACAGAAGUUUCUAGAGGUACGUCUCGUACUUUUUAAGAAUAUCUAACAGAAGGUGAGGGUGGUAUUUUAGAGACAAGUCGGUCGGAUGACUAGUCACUGUGUAUGUAAUGAAUUAUUGUGAUUCAAAAUGAGAAUACCUGUCAAACCCAGGGCUUUAGGUUAAAGUUUUCACAUGCUAAUGUUUUUAAUACCCUGCUGAAUCACUGCACUGUAAGUGAGGUCUGACAAUGUCAGUUCUACCUGACUGUAACGAAAGGUUGUCACUGGUUAGUUACCUUGUCCAGAUGCUGUACUUCCGACCGCCUCUUAUAUUUCUACGUUAAUGUUUUGCAGUCCGCCACCUGCCAAACAGUGACGGUGUCAAAGUGAUCUGUUCCUUUGGACGCACAAUCAUUCUGUGGUAUUUUCUUUACUUAGGAUUCCAAUGAAAGAUUCUGUUUUGUAUUUAUAGAGCUACUGCACGGUUUGUGUCUUGCCUCUGCAACAGCCUCCUGUCUUCAUUCCCAAAAUGAGAUGUCUCUCUGGUACAAAAAGUGAGGUUUAUUCACUGUAAUACAGUCUAAAUCGGGCACGUGGGUCGGAACCUGAUGCUGUGCUACUAUUUGUGGACAUAGUUAUGAACUACUUGUACAGUGAUGAAUUGCACUCUGGCUGUUGUGAGCAAAUGUAAUUUUCAUAAAUUAUUUUCUCGUUUCAGGACACACACAUGUUUCCAGUGAUGUUUUUGAGCCAGGUUGAAACUUGCUUUUUGGGAGUGGUGGUAUUUUUCCACCACUGUCCUGUAUCCAUUACUUCUGUGAUUAAAUUAUAUUUAAAACAGUUUGCAGUGGCCUAUGAAUGCAUGUUGUGGAGUUUUCUCUCAUAGCUUCAUGAGUUUACUGCUCCAUUAUGCAUCUGCACAUCACCUAUUACCUCAAUUCUAUACAGUGCUGUAUAGUGUUCAUUGUGCCAGACUGGUUUAGAAAUGUUGCUUCACAUGUUAUCAGAUAUUGAAUAACUGAAGGCCACAGUUUGU